UCAAACUUGGUCAUUUAGAGGAAGUAAAAGUCGUAACAAGGUUUCCGUAGGUGAACCUGCGGAAGGAUCAUUACAAUAUGUGAGGGCUUGUUUACGAGGGAGCCUAGCUUCUAGUCAGCAAGCACUUGCCUGACUUGGUCAGGUACCCUUGCUUUGUUUUUCGAGUACCAUGUUGUUUCCUCGGUAGGCUUGCCUGCCCAUAGGAACCCCAAAUCAAACUCUUGUAGUAGUAGUAUCAGCCUGAGAAAUCUUAUAAUAAUCAAAACUUUCAACAACGGAUCUCUUGGUUCUGGCAUCGAUGAAGAACGCAGC
Molecule: unclassified non-coding RNA, 312 nt
Filed under: uncultured fungus
Lineage: Eukaryota; Fungi
Description: partial contains small subunit ribosomal RNA, internal transcribed spacer 1, and 5.8S ribosomal RNA
Rfam family: Eukaryotic small subunit ribosomal RNA (bases 1-73)
Source: RNAcentral